CCAGCAGCUGCGGUAAUUCCAGCUCCAAUAGCGUAUAUUAAUGCUGCUGCAGUUGAAACGCUCGUAGUUGGAUUUCUGGAUGAGCUCCUUAGUCGGACAUUGUCUGUACUUUGGAGCUUGUCCUUUUGUCCAAGGAAGGCUUCAGCAAUGGAGUCUGACUUGGGCCAGUUACUUUGAGAAAAUUAGGGUGUUCAAAGCAGGCCAGUGCCUUGAAUACGUUAGCAUGGAAUAACGGAAUAGGACUUUGGUUCUAUUUUGUUGGUUGCUAGGACCGAAGUAAUGACUAAUAGGGACAGUUGGGGGCAUUCAUAUUUAAUUGUCAGAGGUGAAAUUCUUGGAUUUAUUAAAGA
RNAcentral lists this ribosomal RNA (350 nucleotides) under uncultured eukaryote. RNAcentral describes it as "SSU rRNA". It matches the Rfam family "Eukaryotic small subunit ribosomal RNA", at positions 567 to 935 of the family's 1831-position model. The record is from RNAcentral.